AAGACCAUACUUUCAGGAUCAUUUCUAUAGUCUGAUCAGUACUAGAGAAGUUUCUCCGAACGAGUAGAGCAUGGAAACCACCAGGAGGAGGCGCAGCGUCCUCUCCUGAGCGUGAAGCCGGUCUGGUCGCUUCGCUGCAACUGCCAUUUGCAAUCGAAGACCGUCCUUCUCUUCCUUUGGGAGAGUGAGGGGCAGAGGACCGUCUGAGCUGU
Lemur catta (Ring-tailed lemur) is the source of this 212-nucleotide small nucleolar RNA. RefSeq annotates it as small nucleolar RNA U3. NCBI's taxonomy places the organism in Eukaryota, Metazoa, Chordata, Mammalia, Primates, Lemuridae. The record is from RefSeq and is a predicted model, not a curated record. The transcript has a single exon.